Macrolepiota fuliginosa MF-IS2 is the source of this 96-nucleotide non-coding RNA. The record is from the annotation of a GenBank genome assembly. Lineage: Eukaryota; Fungi; Basidiomycota; Agaricomycetes; Agaricales; Agaricaceae.
GGCGCUAUAGCCAAGUGGUUACGGCGACAGAUUCGAACUCCAGUUCUGAUCAUCUGUUCCUCUUUGAGGGCGCAGGUUCAAAUCCUGCUGGCGUCG